RNAcentral lists this ribosomal RNA (497 nucleotides) under uncultured bacterium. Its description in RNAcentral is "partial 16S ribosomal RNA". It matches the Rfam family "Bacterial small subunit ribosomal RNA", at positions 28 to 507 of the family's 1533-position model. The record is from RNAcentral.
GAUGAACGCUGGCGGCGUGCCUAAUACAUGCAAGUCGAGCGAACAGACGCGGCGCUUGCUCCUCUCACGUUAGCCGCGGACGUGUGAGUAACACGUGGAUACCCUACCUAUAAGACUGGGAUAACUUCGGGACACCGGAGCUAAUCCCGGAUAAUAUAUUGAACCGCAUGGUUCAAUAGUGAAAUACGGUUUUGCUGUCACUUCUAGAUGGAUCCGCGCCGCAUUAGAUAGUUGGUAAGGUAACGGCUUACCAAGGCAACGAUGCGUAGGCGACCUGAGAGAGUGAUCGGCCACACGGGAACUGAGACACGGUCCAGACUCCUAAGGGAGGCAGCAGUAGGGAAUCUUCCGCAAUGGGCGAAAGCCUGACGGAGCAACGCCGCGUGAGUGAUGAAGGUCUUCGGAUCGGAAAAAUCUGUUAUGAGGGAAGAACAAAUGUGUAAGUAACUAUGCACGUCGUGACGGUACCUAAUCAGAAAGCCACGGCUAACUACGUG